RNAcentral lists this ribosomal RNA (501 nucleotides) under uncultured bacterium. Its description in RNAcentral is "bacterial SSU rRNA". It matches the Rfam family "Bacterial small subunit ribosomal RNA", at positions 791 to 1296 of the family's 1533-position model. The record is from RNAcentral.
UAGUCCACGCCGUAAACGAUGAUUACUCGCUGUAGGCGAUACACAGUCUGUGGCUAAGCGAAAGUUUUAAGUAAUCCACCUGGGGAGUACGAUCGCAAGAUUGAAACUCAAAGGAAUUGACGGGGGCCCGCACAAGCGGAGGAACAUGUGGUUUAAUUCGAUGAUACGCGAGGAACCUUACCUGGGCUCUAAUGCGACUGUUACCUGGUGAAAGCCGGGGUUCCUUCGGGACAGGAAGCAAGGUGCUGCAUGGUUGUCGUCAGCUCGUGCCGUGAGGUGUUGGGUUAAGUCCCGCAACGAGCGCAACCCCUAUUGUUAGUUGCCAGCACAUAAUGGUGGGGACUCUAGCAAGACUGCCGGCGUAAGCCGCGAGGAAGGUGGGGAUGACGUCAAAUCAUCAUGGCCUUUAUGCCCAGGGCUACACACGUGCUACAAUGGUGCAUACGGAGGGUAGCGAAGCCGCGAGGUGGAGCCAAUCCCAGAAAGUGCAUCUCAGUUCGG